Molecule: long non-coding RNA, 1211 nt
Organism: Hypanus sabinus (Atlantic stingray)
Lineage: Eukaryota; Metazoa; Chordata; Chondrichthyes; Myliobatiformes; Dasyatidae
Exons: 3
Source: RefSeq, a predicted model, not a curated record
UGGAAGUGGACAGACUUUCAUCUGCCAAGUUUGUGCCUAUCUCACUGGCACUUCAAAGGUGAACAUUGUCCUUAUUCUUGUAAUGUGUGAAGUUCUUUACUGGCAUUUCUAAAUAUAGGAAUUUAUCUGUGGAUCAGAUGCCUUACACAUCAUGAGACAGAACUUCAGCAGUGGUAGAAUCACACAUAUAUUUCAGACCGCAGAUUUCUGAAAAAUGUGCUCAAGCUGUCUAUGGAUAUACAACCCAUUUCCAAGUGCUACCCUUCACUUGAAGGGAAACUACAAUAAAAAUUGAAAGAGAAAAUGCUCAAAAAGCCAAAGCCUUCUUGUCUUCCUCUAGGUGGCAUUCAGCCAGCACAAGGCAGUGAUCAGAGAACACGAGUGUAACAUCAGAGGCUCAAACCAUGAGCAUUUGAGGCUCACAAGGACAUCUACCCUCAAUCGAUCUGACCUGCCAGCCUGCAACCUGGGAUAUAGGAGUUAUGAGACCAUUGAGUGGCUUGCUAGAGCCCUGCUACUACCCGUCAGAAGUCGCAUAUAGGCUAGAUUGUAUAAGAAUGGAAGAUUUCCUUCAACAUAUGUUUUUAAAACAAUCUAGUCAUUUUAUAUCAUUAUUGCUCAGACUAAAUUAUUUACUUUAUUUAUUGAAUCUCCCUUGGUAAAUGAAAGAAGAUGAGCCAAAAGAUCUUCUUCCUCCUCCUACUAGUCAUCCUGAAAAAGUCAAUAUAGACUGCAAGCAGGUAGAAACUGAUAUUUGGGGAGAUGAUACACUCCCAGAAAUAAGGUAUGCAAUUUUGUUCCUUAGAGGAGAUAGAAUAUGCUGUAGCCUUUAUUGUUAUUUCAUUAACUUCAGCUCAUGAAAUAAAAAUUAUACCUGUAUUGUAAAGCCAAACUCCUGACGUAGGAAGUGUGCUCUGGUUUCAGUACUCGUAAUCCCUUUGAAAGAUAGGUACUUAAUUUGAAAGCUGGUAGAAUAAUACUACAAUACCUACAAGUUACAAGUACAGGCUUAAGUUUUGUCACAUGGGUGUUCCAGGAGGAGUGCACGUGUUCAUCACCAAGCCCAACAAAAUUGCAAUGUAGUUUUAAUCAAGAUUAGAUGAUAGACAUGCUCCAUUCAUACCUGGUUCACAAUAUCUUUAACUUCAUUGAUUUUUAAACAAAUGUAAGUUGUGUCUUUAAAGUCUUCACUCAAAGCAUUAAAUUGCCUG